RNAcentral lists this ribosomal RNA (465 nucleotides) under uncultured bacterium. RNAcentral's name for it is "partial 16S ribosomal RNA". It matches the Rfam family "Bacterial small subunit ribosomal RNA", at positions 28 to 507 of the family's 1533-position model. The record is from RNAcentral.
GAUGAACGCUGGCGGCGUGCUUAACACAUGCAAGUCGAACGGAAAGGCUCCUGCUUGCAGGGGUACUCGAGUGGCGAACGGGUGAGUAACACGUGGGUGAUCUGUCCUGCACUUCGGGAUAAGCCUGGGAAACUGGGUCUAAUACCGGAUAGGACCACAUUUUGGAUGGUGUGGUGGAAAGUUUUUCGGUGUGGGAUGAGCUCGCGGCCUAUCAGCUUGUUGGUGGGGUAAUGGCCUACCAAGGCGUCGACGGGUAGCCGGCCUGAGAGGGUGUACGGCCACAUUGGGACUGAGAUACGGCCCAGACUCCUACGGGAGGCAGCAGUGGGGAAUAUUGCACAAUGGGCGCAAGCCUGAUGCAGCGACGCCGCGUGGGGGAUGACGGCCUUCGGGUUGUAAACUCCUUUCGCUAGGGACGAAGCGCAAGUGACGGUACCUGGAGAAGAAGCACCGGCUAACUACGUG